AUUACUUUGGCAGAUAAGUGCACUGGAUUUAGAAUUCAGCUAUAUAGAAUACUAUAAGUAAUA
This 63-nucleotide transfer RNA is filed under the name Cylindraustralia sp. HS-2014. RNAcentral describes it as "tRNA-Leu". The record is from RNAcentral. Lineage: Eukaryota; Metazoa; Arthropoda; Insecta; Orthoptera; Cylindrachetidae.